This 651-nucleotide small RNA is filed under the name Pongo abelii (Sumatran orangutan). Its description in RNAcentral is "processed transcript". Lineage: Eukaryota; Metazoa; Chordata; Mammalia; Primates; Hominidae. The record is from RNAcentral.
GUUUUUUGUGGGAACAUACAAUGUAAAUGGGCAGUCCCCCAAAGAAUGCCUCCGGCUGUGGCUGAGCAAUGGUAUCCAGGCUCCAGAUGUCUAUUGUGUAGGGUUCCAGGAACUUGAUCUGAGUAAGGAAGCUUUUUUCUUUCACGAUACCCCAAAGGAGGAAGAGUGGUUCAAAGCUGUGUCAGAGGGUCUUCAUCUAGAUGCCAAAUAUGCAAAGGUGAAGCUUAUCCGACUGGUUGGGAUUAUGCUGCUGUUAUAUGUCAGACAGGAGCAUGCAGCUUAUAUCUCAGAAGUGGAAGCUGAGACUGUGGGGACAGGAAUCAUGGGGAGGAUGGGCAACAAGGGAGGCGUGGCGAUCAGGUUCCAGUUCCACAACACCAGCAUCUGCAUUGUGAAUUCUCACUUGGCAGCCCACAUUGAAGAGUAUGAGAGGAGGAACCAGGACUAUAAGGACAUUUGUUCUCGAAUGCAGUUUUGUCAGCCUGACCCAAGCCUUCCCCCUCUCACCAUCAGCAACCACGAGUGAGUCUGGGCUUCCACCCCAUGCGGUUUACCAUGAGUACGUAGAGUUGUGGGCUCUGUCUUUUCAUGGGGAGAUGCCUGGUGGUGGUUUCCUAUUGCUGCAGUGGUGGCAGCUGCCACCUCUUGGUU